This 500-nucleotide ribosomal RNA is filed under the name uncultured bacterium. RNAcentral describes it as "partial 16S ribosomal RNA". It matches the Rfam family "Bacterial small subunit ribosomal RNA", at positions 30 to 523 of the family's 1533-position model. The record is from RNAcentral.
AUUGAACGCUGGCGGCAUGCCUUACACAUGCAAGUCGAACGGCAGCACGGGAGCAAUCCUGGUGGCGAGUGGCGAACGGGUGAGUAAUAUAUCGGAACGUGCCCAGUCGUGGGGAAUAACGCAGCGAAAGCUGUGCUAAUACCGCAUACGAUCUACGGAUGAAAGCGGGGGAUCGCAAGACCUCGCGCGAUUGGAGCGGCCGAUAUCAGAUUAGCUAGUUGGUGGGGUAAAGGCCCACCAAGGGGACGAUCUGUAGCUGGUCUGAGAGGACGACCAGCCACACUGGAACUGAGACACGGUCCAGACUCCUACGGGAGGCAGCAGUGGGGAAUUUUGGACAAUGGGCGCAAGCCUGAUCCAGCAAUGCCGCGUGCAGGAUGAAGGCCUUCGGGUUGUAAACUGCUUUUGUACGGAACGAAACGGCCCUUUCUAAUACAGGGGGCUAAUGACGGUACCGUAAGAAUAAGCACCGGCUAACUACGUGCCAGCCGCCGCAGUAA